GAUGAAGAACGUAGCGAAAUGCGAUAAGUAGUGUGAAUUGCAGAAUUCAGUGAAUCAUCGAAUCUUUGAACGCACAUUGCGCCCUUUGGUAUUCCUUAGGGCAUGCCUGUUCGAGCGUCAUUUAAACCUACAAGCUAAGCUUGGUGUUGGGUGACUGUCCGCUUCACGGCGGACUCGCCUCAAAAUUAUUGGCGGCCGGUACAUUGGCUUCGAGCGCAGCAGAAACGCGAACUCGGGCCCGUCGUAUUGGCUCCCAGAAGCUAUCUUCACAAUUUUGACCUCGGAUCAGGUAGGGAUACCCGCUGAACUUAAGCAUAUCAAUAAGCGGAGGA
This 332-nucleotide unclassified non-coding RNA is filed under the name soil metagenome. RNAcentral describes it as "partial contains 5.8S ribosomal RNA, internal transcribed spacer 2, and large subunit ribosomal RNA". The stretch from base 1 to 120 matches the Rfam family "5.8S ribosomal RNA", at positions 35 to 154 of the family's 154-position model. The record is from RNAcentral.